RNAcentral lists this ribosomal RNA (253 nucleotides) under uncultured bacterium. RNAcentral's name for it is "partial 16S ribosomal RNA". It matches the Rfam family "Bacterial small subunit ribosomal RNA", at positions 524 to 776 of the family's 1533-position model. The record is from RNAcentral.
UACGUAGGGUCCGAGCGUUGUCCGGAAUUCUUGGGCGUAAAGAGCUCGUAGGCGGUUUGUCGCGUCUGCUGUGAAAUCCCGAGGCUCAACCUCGGGCCUGCAGUGGGUACGGGCAGACUGGAGUGCGGUAGGGGAGACUGGAAUUCCUGGUGUAGCGGUGAAAUGCGCAGAUAUCAGGAGGAACACCGGUGGCGAAGGCGGGUCUCUGGGCCGAUACUGACGCUGAGGAGCGAAAGCGUGGGGAGCGAACAGG